AAAAUUAGAGUGUUCAAAGCGGGCAGAUAUUUUUCCUGCCACCGAAUACAUUAGCAUGGGAUAAUGGAAUAGGACCCUGACCUCCUAUUUUCAGUUGGUUUUGUUUACAGCGAGGUUAUAUCAGGGUAAUGAUUAAUAGGGAUAGUUGGGGGCAUUAAUAUUUAAUUGUCAGAGGUGAAAUUCUUGGAUUUAUGAAAGAUUAACUUCUGCGAAAGCGUUUGCCAAGGAUGUUUUCAUUAAUCAAGAACGAAAGUUAGGGGAUCGAAGACGAUCAGAUACCGUCGUAGUCUUAACCAUAAACGAUGCCGACCAGCGAUUAGGAGACGUUGAAUACAAAACACCGCUGUUAAUCCUUUCGGGGGUUAAUAGUUGGUGAA
Molecule: ribosomal RNA, 377 nt
Filed under: Acanthamoeba sp.
Lineage: Eukaryota; Discosea; Longamoebia; Acanthamoebidae
Also listed under: 3 other names
Description: SSU rRNA
Rfam family: Eukaryotic small subunit ribosomal RNA
Source: RNAcentral